RNAcentral lists this ribosomal RNA (486 nucleotides) under uncultured bacterium. Its description in RNAcentral is "partial 16S ribosomal RNA". It matches the Rfam family "Bacterial small subunit ribosomal RNA", at positions 30 to 507 of the family's 1533-position model. The record is from RNAcentral.
AUUGAACGCUGGCGGCAUGCCUUACACAUGCAAGUCGAACGGCAGCACGGGUGCUUGCCCCUGGUGGCGAGUGGCGAACGGGUGAGUAAUACAUCGGAACAUGUCCUGUAGUGGGGGAUAGCCCGGCGAAAGCCGGAUUAAUACCGCAUACGAUCUACGGAUGAAAGCGGGGGCCCUUCGGGCCUCGCGCUAUAGGGUUGGCCGAUGGCUGAUUAGCUAGUUGGUGGGGUAAAGGCCUACCAAGGCGACGAUCAGUAGCUGGUCUGAGAGGACGACCAGCCACACUGGGACUGAGACACGGCCCAGACUCCUACGGGAGGCAGCAGUGGGGAAUUUUGGACAAUGGGCGAAAGCCUGAUCCAGCAAUGCCGCGUGUGUGAAGAAGGCCUUCGGGUUGUAAAGCACUUUUGUCCGGAAAGAAAUACUUGGCUCUAAUACAGUCGGGGGAUGACGGUACCGGAAGAAUAAGCACCGGCUAACUACGUG